AGACGACGCUGGCGGCGCGCUUAACACAUGCAAGUCGUGCGGUACCGAGGGUAAGUCCUUACAGACGAGCCCUCGGUACAGCGGCGGACGGGUGAGUAACACGUGAGUAGCUGUCCUAAGGAGGGGGAUAACGCCUGGAAACGGGUGCUAAUACCCCAUAUGCCUCGCAAGAGGUGAAAGUGUACUCGUUACAGCCUUAGGGUGUGCUCGCGGCCUAUCAGCUAGUUGGUGAGGUAACGGCUCACCAAGGCUAAGACGGGUAGCCGGCCUGAGAGGGUGUACGGCCACACUGGAAUUGAGAUACGGUCCAGACUCCUACGGGAGGCAGCAGUGGGGAAUCUUGGGCAAUGGGCGAAAGCCUGACCCAGCGACGCCGCGUUGGGGAUGAAGCCCUUCGGGGCGUAAACCCAUGUUGUAGGGGACGAAGAAAGUGACGGUACCCUACGAGAAAGCCCCGGCCAACUACGUG
This 469-nucleotide ribosomal RNA is filed under the name uncultured bacterium. RNAcentral's name for it is "bacterial SSU rRNA". It matches the Rfam family "Bacterial small subunit ribosomal RNA", at positions 33 to 507 of the family's 1533-position model. The record is from RNAcentral.